RNAcentral lists this ribosomal RNA (1343 nucleotides) under uncultured bacterium. RNAcentral describes it as "16S ribosomal RNA". It matches the Rfam family "Bacterial small subunit ribosomal RNA", at positions 28 to 1378 of the family's 1533-position model. The record is from RNAcentral.
GACGAACGCUGGCGGCGUGCUUAACACAUGCAAGUCGAACGGAAAGGCCCUGCUUUUGUGGGGUGCUCGAGUGGCGAACGGGUGAGUAACACGUGAGUAACCUGCCCUUGACUUUGGGAUAACUUCAGGAAACUGGGGCUAAUACCGGAUAGGAGCUCCUGCUGCAUGGUGGGGGUUGGAAAGUUUCGGCGGUUGGGGAUGGACUCGCGGCUUAUCAGCUUGUUGGUGGGGUAGUGGCUUACCAAGGCUUUGACGGGUAGCCGGCCUGAGAGGGUGACCGGCCACAUUGGGACUGAGAUACGGCCCAGACUCCUACGGGAGGCAGCAGUGGGGAAUAUUGCACAAUGGGCGGAAGCCUGAUGCAGCAACGCCGCGUGCGGGAUGACGGCCUUCGGGUUGUAAACCGCUUUCGCCUGUGACGAAGCGUGAGUGACGGUAAUGGGUAAAGAAGCACCGGCUAACUACGUGCCAGCAGCCGCGGUGAUACGUAGGGUGCGAGCGUUGUCCGGAUUUAUUGGGCGUAAAGGGCUCGUAGGUGGUUGAUCGCGUCGGAAGUGUAAUCUUGGGGCUUAACCCUGAGCGUGCUUUCGAUACGGGUUGACUUGAGGAAGGUAGGGGAGAAUGGAAUUCCUGGUGGAGCGGUGGAAUGCGCAGAUAUCAGGAGGAACACCAGUGGCGAAGGCGGUUCUCUGGGCCUUUCCUGACGCUGAGGAGCGAAAGCGUGGGGAGCGAACAGGCUUAGAUACCCUGGUAGUCCACGCUGUAAACGGUGGGUACUAGGUGUGGGGUCCAUUCCACGGGUUCCGUGCCGUAGCUAACGCUUUAAGUACCCCGCCUGGGGGGUACGGCCGCAAGGCUAAAACUCAAAGGAAUUGACGGGGCCCCGCACAAGCGGCGGAGCAUGCGGAUUAAUUCGAUGCAACGCGUAGAACCUUACCUGGGUUUGACAUGGAUCGGGAGUGCUCAGAGAUGGGUGUGCCUCUUUUGGGGUCGGUUCACAGGUGGUGCAUGGCUGUCGUCAGCUCGUGUCGUGAGAUGUUGGGUUAAGUCCCGCAACGAGCGCAACCCUUGUUCACUGUUGCCAGCACGUUAUGGUGGGGACUCAGUGGAGACCGCCGGGGUCAACUCGGAGGAAGGUGGGGAUGGCGUCAAGUCAUCAUGCCCCUUAUGUCCAGGGCUUCACGCAUGCUACAAUGGCUGGUACAGAGAGUGGCGAGCCUGUGAGGGUGAGCGAAUCUCGGAAAGCCGGUCUCAGUUCGGAUUGGGGUCUGCAACUCGACCUCAUGAAGUCGGAGUCGCUAGUAAUCGCAGAUCAGCAACGCUGCGGUGAAUACGUUCCCGGG